RNAcentral lists this ribosomal RNA (433 nucleotides) under uncultured bacterium. RNAcentral describes it as "partial 16S ribosomal RNA". It matches the Rfam family "Bacterial small subunit ribosomal RNA", at positions 29 to 507 of the family's 1533-position model. The record is from RNAcentral.
AACGAACGCUGGCGGCAUGCCUAACACAUGCAAGUCGAACGAGACCUUCGGGUCUAGUGGCGCACGGGUGCGUAACGCGUGGGAACCUGCCCUUAGGUUCGGAAUAACUCUCCGAAAGGGGUGCUAAUACCGGAUAAUGUCUUCGGACCAAAGAUUUAUCGCCUUUGGUUGGGCCCGCGUUGGAUUAGCUAGUUGGUAGGGUAAAAGCCUACCAAGGCGACGAUCCAUAGCUGGUCUGAGAGGAUGAUCAGCCACACUGGGACUGAGACACGGCCCAGACUCCUACGGGAGGCAGCAGUGGGGAAUAUUGGACAAUGGGCGAAAGCCUGAUCCAGCAAUGCCGCGUGAGUGAUGAAGGCCUUAGGGUUGUAAAGCUCUUUUACCCGGGAUGAUAAUGACGGUACCGGGAGAAUAAGCUCCGGCUAACUCCGUG